This 386-nucleotide ribosomal RNA is filed under the name uncultured organism. Its description in RNAcentral is "partial 16S ribosomal RNA". It matches the Rfam family "Bacterial small subunit ribosomal RNA", at positions 527 to 897 of the family's 1533-position model. The record is from RNAcentral.
GUAGGUGGCAAGCGUUGUCCGGGAAUUAUUGGGGCGUAAAGCGCGCGCAGGCGGUUCUUUAAGUCUGAUGUGAAAGCCCACGGGCUCAACCGUGGAGGGUCAUUGGAAACUGGAGAACUUGAGUACAGAAGAGGAAAGCGGAAUUCCACGUGUAGCGGUGAAAUGCGUAGAGAUGUGGAGGAACACCAGUGGCGAAGGCGGCUUUCUGGUCUGUAACUGACGCUGAGGCGCGAAAGCGUGGGGAGCAAACAGGAUUAGAUACCCUGGUAGUCCACGCCGUAAACGAUGAGUGCUAAGUGUUAGGGGGUUUCCGCCCCUUAGUGCUGCAGCUAACGCAUUAAAAAAAAAAAAGCACUCCGCCUGGGGAGUACGGCCGCAAAGGCUGA